ACUUAAAUAGUUUAAUUAAAAUCUUGAUUUGUGGUAUCAAAGAUAUAAGAAUUUAUUUUAAGUU
RNAcentral lists this transfer RNA (64 nucleotides) under Neocrepidodera transversa. RNAcentral's name for it is "tRNA-His". The record is from RNAcentral. Lineage: Eukaryota; Metazoa; Arthropoda; Insecta; Coleoptera; Chrysomelidae.